This 253-nucleotide ribosomal RNA is filed under the name uncultured bacterium. RNAcentral describes it as "partial 16S ribosomal RNA". It matches the Rfam family "Bacterial small subunit ribosomal RNA", at positions 524 to 776 of the family's 1533-position model. The record is from RNAcentral.
UACGUAGGGGGCAAGCGUUGUCCGGAUUUAUUGGGCGUAAAGCGCGUGUAGGCGGCCAGAUAGGUCUGCUGUGAAAACUCGAGGCUCAACCUCGAGACGUCGGUUGAAACCGUAAGGCUAGAGUCCGGAAGAGGAGAGUGGAAUUCCCGGUGUAGCGGUGAAAUGCGCAGAUAUCGGGAAGAACACCCGUGGCGAAGGCGGCUCUCUGGGACGGUACUGACGCUGAGACGCGAAAGCGUGGGGAGCGAACAGG